RNAcentral lists this ribosomal RNA (585 nucleotides) under uncultured bacterium. RNAcentral describes it as "partial 16S ribosomal RNA". It matches the Rfam family "Bacterial small subunit ribosomal RNA", at positions 355 to 1375 of the family's 1533-position model. The record is from RNAcentral.
UGGGGAAUUUUGGACAAUGGGCGAAAGCCUGAUCCAGCAAUGCCGCGUGUGUGAAGAAGGCCUUCGGGUUGUAAAGCACUUUUGUCCGGAAAGAAAUCCUUGGCUCUAAUACAGUCGGGGGAUGACGGUACCGGAAGAAUAAGCACCGGCUAACUACGCGCCAGCAGCCGCGGUAAUACGUAGGGUGCAAGCGUUAAUCGGAAUUACUGGGCGUAAAGCGUGCGCAGGCGGUUUGCUAAGACCGAUGUGAAAUCCCCGGGCUCAACCUGGGAACUGCAUUGGUGACUGGCAGGCUAGAGUAUGGCAGAGGGGGGUAGAAUUCCACGUGUAGCAGUGAAAUGCGUAGAGAUGUGGAGGAAUACCGAUGGCGAAGGCAGCCCCCUGGGCCAAUACUGACGCUCAUGCACGAAAGCGUGGGGAGCAAACAGGAUUAGAUACCCUGGUAGUCCACGCCCUAAACGAUGUCAACUAGUUGUUGGGGAUUCAUUUCCUUAGUAACGUAGCUAACGCGUGAAGUUGACCGCCUGGGGAGUACGGUCGCAAGAUUAAAACUUAAAUGAAUUGACGGGGUCAUAGCUGUUUCCU